RNAcentral lists this ribosomal RNA (798 nucleotides) under uncultured Porphyromonadaceae bacterium. RNAcentral's name for it is "bacterial SSU rRNA". It matches the Rfam family "Bacterial small subunit ribosomal RNA", at positions 8 to 795 of the family's 1533-position model. Lineage: Bacteria; Pseudomonadati; Bacteroidota; Bacteroidia; Bacteroidales; Porphyromonadaceae. The record is from RNAcentral.
AGAGUUUGAUUAUGGCUCAGGAUGAACGCUAGCGAUAGGCCUAACACAUGCAAGUCGAGGGGCAGCACAUGAAGUAGCAAUACGGAUGGUGGCGACCGGCGCACGGGUGAGUAACGCGUAUGCAACCUGCCUACAACAGGGGAAUAACCCGUUGAAAGACGGACUAAUACCCCAUAACACAGGGAUCCCGCAUGGGAAUAUUUGUUAAAGAUUUAUCGGUUGUAGAUGGGCAUGCGUUCCAUUAGCUGGUUGGUGAGGUAACGGCUCACCAAGGCAACGAUGGAUAGGGGAACUGAGAGGUUUAUCCCCCACACUGGUACUGAGACACGGAACAGACUCCUACGGGAGGCAGCAGUGAGGAAUAUUGGUCAAUGGACGCAAGUCUGAACCAGCCACGUCGCGUGAAGGAAGACGGCCCUACGGGUUGUAAACUUCUUUUGUAAGGGAAUAAAGUGCAGUACGUGUACUGUUUUGCAUGUACCUUACGAAUAAGGAUCGGCUAACUCCGUGCCAGCAGCCGCGGUAAUACGGAGGAUCCGAGCGUUAUCCGGAUUUAUUGGGUUUAAAGGGUGCGCAGGCGGGAGAUUAAGUCGGCGGUGAAAUUUUGCAGCUCAACUGUAAAAGUGCCUUCGAAACUGGUUUUCUUGAGUGUGGAUGAAGUAGGCGGAAUUUGUGGUGUAGCGGUGAAAUGCAUAGAUAUCACGAGGAACUCCGAUUGCGCAGGCAGCUUACUAAACCAUAACUGACGCUCAGGCACGAAGGCGUGGGGAUCAAACAGGAUUAGAUACCCUGGUAGUC